This 292-nucleotide ribosomal RNA is filed under the name uncultured microorganism. Its description in RNAcentral is "partial 16S ribosomal RNA". It matches the Rfam family "Bacterial small subunit ribosomal RNA", at positions 505 to 796 of the family's 1533-position model. The record is from RNAcentral.
GUGCCAGCAGCCGCGGUAAUACGUAGGUGGCAAGCGUUAUCCGGAUUUAUUGGGCGUAAAGCGCUCGCAGGCGGUCUUUUAAGUCUGAUGUGAAAGCCCACGGCUCAACCGUGGAGGGUCAUUGGAAACUGGAAGACUUGAGUGCAGAAGAGGAGAGUGGAAUUCCACGUGUAGCGGUGAAAUGCGUAGAGAUGUGGAGGAACACCAGUGGCGAAGGCGACUCUCUGGUCUGUAACUGACGCUGAGGAGCGAAAGCGUGGGGAGCGAACAGGAUUAGAUACCCUGGUAGUCC